This 3020-nucleotide long non-coding RNA is filed under the name Medicago truncatula (barrel medic). RNAcentral's name for it is "long non-coding RNA (MTRU_LNC007494)". Lineage: Eukaryota; Viridiplantae; Streptophyta; Magnoliopsida; Fabales; Fabaceae. The record is from RNAcentral.
GUAUAAAUAUCAUUUCUCUAUGCAAAAACACUUGGAAUUUGCUUUGUAUUCACUUAAGAAGGUUCCACAGUUCACCAAACUGCUCCAAAUCGUAGUGUGAUCCCUUCUAAGACCCAAAGCACAUUUAGCGGUUGCUUCUACACAUUACUUUUGAUUCCAAGUAUUUAAGCAAAAAUGAAACACAAACGAAUCAUUAUAGAGAAAAUAAUUCUCAUUUGUGUUGACACCUUAGACUACCAUUCAUAUGCCGUGCACAAGAAAUGAAAAUAGAAGUAAAUAAAGUAUAUUAUUGAUAUUUAUGUUCUUAAAAAAAUUAGGGUUAAAUAUGUUUUUGGUCCUUAUAAAUAUACCAACUUUUUGUUUUAGUUCCUCUAAAAUUUUCCUUCAACUUUUGGUUCCUUAAAAAUUUUCCAUCUUCACUUUUGAUCCCUCCUUUAAAGUAAACUCAUAUUUAGAAUUCAUAUUUUUGAAUAAAAUUUUGCAGAAAAAUUCAUAAUAUUGUAAGAAUCACUCCCAAAAAAAUUAGAAUUUUUUAACAAAACAUGAAUUUAAUAUAAAUUUUUAUAUUUUUGAAGGUUAAAAAUUCAUAUUUAAUUUAUGUUAUGUUAAAAAAUUCUAAUUUUUUUUUUUUUGAAAAAUAUUUUUACAAUAUUCUACACAUAUCUCCAUAAUUUUAUUAAAAAAUAUCAAAAUUAACUUUAAAAUAGGGACCAAAAUAGUGAUAGAAAAUUUUAUAGGGACUAAAAAUUGAAGGAAAAUUUUAGAGGGACUAAAACGAAAAGUUGGUAUAUUUAUAGGGACUAAAAACAUAUUUAACCCAAAAAUUUAUUCACAUUUAGGAAGUAAUCUCAAUUAUUCACAUGCUCAUGAAAUCAAACAUUAGUUCAUCGGUGCAUACAACAAUUUUUUAAAAGGAAUUACACCAUUCACUUUUUUUUUUCAUAGGACAAUCGCAGUUUAUUUCAACGAACUCGAGUAAGCAACUCUCCUUGCUUAUUAGUCAUCCAAUUGGAAAUGAUACUUAACAAAAUGCACAGCUGUUAGAAGGAUAUUAUUAAGCAUUUAAAAAUGUUAAUCCACCUAAAUACCUUAUUUUUCUUGUUAGGUGAACACAAUGAUAUCCAUAAAAUUUUGUUUGUUGUAUUUUUAUAUUAACUGAUUUUAAAAUAAAUUCAUAUGUUAAACAAAUUUCGAGAUAUGGGUAUACAAUCAUAAUCAAUAUAAGUAAAUAAUUUAGCUAAUUUUUUUUAAAUGAAUAUAAACACCCAUCAAGCACGAGUUCAUAGAUGCAUAUAACUAUAUCUUUUUAAGGAAAUUAUUAAACCAUCAUUUUAUUUUUUAAGAAUUAUUACAUUUUAUUUGAAGAUACUUACGUCAUCAACUCUCGAUGCUGAUGCUAAGAGCAUGAUUAUCGGUUCAAUUUUACCGUGUCUUUACUGAAGCAAAAUGCAAUGUAUCAGAAAGGGACAUAUAUUUGGCAUGGUAAGAGAGUAGCAAAACUCAUCAAAGUGGCACUGCAUUGCUACCGUGGUUUUACUGAUUGUUGGAUUUAUAAACCAUUAUAAAAUUAACUUAUGAUUUGAAAAGGUGUUAUAUGUUAAUAUAAAGGGUUAAUUAAGUUUUUAGUCCCUAUAAAUAUUCACAGUUUUGUUUUUAGUUCCUAUAAAAUAAAAUCACACUUUUUAGUCCCUGUGAUAUUUUCCUUAAGCAUUUUAGGGACUAAAAAUUCUGAUGGAAAAAUUUUAUAGGGACUAAAAAUGCUUAUGAAAAAUUUUAUAAGGACUAAAAAUGUUAAUGGAAAAUUUUAUAAGGACUAAAAAGUGUGAUUUUAUUUUGUGGAGACUAAAAACAAAAUUCUGAAUAUUUAUAGGGACUAAAAACUUAAUUAACCCUAAUAUAAAAUACAAUCGUGAGGUAUAUUGUGGGACCCACUUUAAAGUUUUAGACGGGUAGUAUAAAUAUUUAAAAAAUGUAAGAGAGUGGUUUAAAUAAUUGGAAAGUGUAAAAUAAUAUAUUGUAUAUUAUAUGAGAUCAAUUUUUACCACCCAAUUUUUAUUAAUGUUGAUGCUUUAAUAAGAACAGAAAAUAUUUAUAUUUCGUAUAAAAUGUGAUGAAAAAUAUCCUUAAAUUAAAUUUAUUAUAUAUAAAAAAAAAAAAAAUUCAAUUUUGGCCAAAUGGAUGACGACCGAUCCAAUAUUUAACCACAACACAAUAUUUAAACAUAUAUGUGGCCGAAUGGAAAGCGUCUAGAACAUUUCAAUAAACAACUCCAACUACUCGACAACAACAUGGUAACGUGUUCCUCAAAACAAAAACAAAAAAUGAUAAUGUGUCUUGGACGAAAUCAAAUGCAGAAAGAUACAAAUGCAAUGUUGUUGCAUCCUUUGCAAAACACCUAAACAAGGUUUUAAUAGAUAUGUUGUUAGAGAUGAGCAUGGUACUUUCGUCUAUGCCAAAUUUGAGUGGUUUAGUUCCAUUUAUAUGGCGACAAGUAAUUGAGAUUGCUCGUAAGUUAACUAAGACCGCCUCAUUAUAGGUUAGUUUCUAAUUAUUGUUUGAAAUAUUAGAUUGUAUUAAACACAAUUUGAUUAAUGAAAUGUUAUAAAUUUGUUUCUCUAAAAAAAAUUAUUCAAUUUAGAUCAUGAUCUUGUAAUAUAUGAGUGAUGAAUUCCAACAUAAACAAAAUUUUCAAGAACCAAAAUAAAACACACAAAUCAUAAAAGUCAACAUACCUACAAACAGGAGGCAGUUCUUGUGGAUCAAGAGGUUCAGGACCCAUCACACAAGAUAGUGUGUCUCUCCAAUUAGCAAACUUUGACUGAUAUAGAUCAAAGUUGGAUCUAUACACCACUCUCUUCACUUUGUGCCCAUCCCUAGUGAAAUACUCAGCCUUCAUCUCCUGUGGAAGCUCGUGGAACUCACGCACUGCCGCCAUCAUCUCCUCCAAUAGCUUCACCGGUAUUCCAUGAUUCACCACCUGGAAAAACCCAGCUGUUCCAGCUGCCUGUCGGAUUACCGCA